UAAAGGUCCUCAAUAAAAUGGUUUGAUCCCCCCAAAAUACCGCCCUCUCCCCAAAUAUUCAUAACGGGGAGAAAAAGAGAAAACCUGAGGAGAGAAGAGGAAAGUAGCUAGAAGCACCAAAGCAGCCAAGUUCAGGAACACAACCAAGGUGGGAAGAGUGUGUGACUCAGGCACACCACCACCAGAUGUCGGAACUCUCCCUGCCCCCAGGUGUGUGUGACAGACACCACCAUGAGCACUGCCGUGGGACGCACACUGUCUGCUUCUUACUGCAGGGUUUGUGGUUAUUGUUGUGUUUUUUACUCUGCUUUGUUCUACUCACUCGUAGGUCUCCUGAUGAUAAGGAGCCCUAAAGCACUGUCUGAGAAGAGAAGAGACCCAGCAUUACAAUCCUGCUGCUCCAAUCCUUGCCUAAGUUCCUCGAGGUCAGAGACUUUAUAUAUCAGCAGUAGCUGGCAUUUGCAGGGUACUCAAAUAGAUGCUGGCUGACUAAAAUGAAAAUCAAGCUCAAAUGGAUUGGCAGAUGAUGUCUAAUAAUUGGAACCUGAAUGAGCAGCUGGAAUGCCACAAGCCCCAGGCACAGGUGGUGCAGGAAAGACCAAGGCAGUGUUGGGAAUGAUGCACAAGACCCAGGAACCAGACCCAGCUUGUCCCUGCAACCCCACGAGCUGGCCUGCCAGGCCGCAGGCCUCACGUUCCUGCAUCACCUGGGAGAGUCAUGCCCAUCCACCUACCAGAUCUGAAGCUUAAAUGAGAUGAUGCACAUGAAAGGGCCUUCUAACUUGCCUAUGGUCCCAAGGGCUGAGUCAACGGAGCGGACCUGACGGUGGGUUUAGGACACAGGGAACUGGCAGUUUUGCCUCAAGGGACUUGGAAGGGGCACAGAAAAGGUCAACCAAUCUCGGUGGCACUAAACCCACAACGGGAAGACAGAAAUGCAGUUUUUACAAUUGUCCUCCUCUGCCCACAACAGGAGCAGUAUUUAAUUCCAUUUGUCACUAUUUAUGCCUUUUCGUGGUGUUCUGGCAAGAGGAAUAACGAAUAAGGCACUGGAUGUAGGGCACCUCGACUGUGCGACCUUGGGCUCCCUUUAAUUCUUCGCGCUUCAAUUUUUCUCAUUUAUAAAAUGAGAAUCAAACUUCCUGCCUUAACCAUUCACCCAGUUUUUGUGAGGGUCCAAUUCGAACGUAUGUUCGUGAAACUCCUCCGUAAGCUCCAGAGAGCCUGGCAACUAUUUUCACCAGCAACUAGGCGUCCCUGCUUGCUUGGUUACUCCUUUAGCCUCGACCAUUAUUAACGUUGUGAUUUAUAAUCACAGAAAUAAAUGAAAUCCUAUGGUCA
Molecule: long non-coding RNA, 1341 nt
Organism: Myotis lucifugus (little brown bat)
Lineage: Eukaryota; Metazoa; Chordata; Mammalia; Chiroptera; Vespertilionidae
Exons: 3
Source: RefSeq, a predicted model, not a curated record